GAUGAACGCUGACAGAAUGCUUAACACAUGCAAGUCGAUGGGGAAGUGGUGCUUGCACCAUGGCAACCAUGGCGGACGGGUGAGUAACGCGUAAGGGACUUACCUGCAGGACUGGGAUAACAGGGGGAAACUCCUGACAAGACCGGAUAAUGUCAUGGAGCUGCAAGGCUUUAUGAUGAAAGGAGACGCCUGCGGAGAGCCUUGCGUCCUAUUAGCUAGUUGGUGAGGUAAUGGCUCACCAAGGCGAAGAUAGGUAGCCGGCCUGAGAGGGUGGACGGCCACAAGGGGACUGAGAUACGGCCCUUACUCCUACGGGAGGCAGCAGUGGGGAAUAUUGGACAAUGGGGGCAACCCUGAUCCAGCAAUUCUGUGUGCACGAAGAAGGUUUUCGGAUUGUAAAGUGCUUUCAGCAGGGAAGAAGUAAGUGACGGUACCUGCAGAAGAAGCGACGGCUAAAUACGUG
Molecule: ribosomal RNA, 463 nt
Filed under: uncultured bacterium
Lineage: Bacteria
Description: partial 16S ribosomal RNA
Rfam family: Bacterial small subunit ribosomal RNA
Source: RNAcentral